Molecule: ribosomal RNA, 539 nt
Filed under: uncultured Cenococcum
Lineage: Eukaryota; Fungi; Ascomycota; Dothideomycetes; Gloniales; Gloniaceae
Description: eukaryotic LSU rRNA
Rfam family: 5.8S ribosomal RNA (bases 175-328)
Source: RNAcentral
CGAUUUCCGUAGGUGAACCUGCGGAAGGAUCAUUACAGAAAGAAAAGCGGAUCGAACCGCGAACUUCUAAACCUUUGACGAUUGACUCAUGUUGCCUCGGCGGGUUCUCCCGCCAGAGGAUACAUCAAAACUCCUGUUUUAACGGUGUUGUCUGAGCUACAAGCAACGAAUCAAAACUUUCAACAACGGAUCUCUUGGUUCUGGCAUCGAUGAAGAACGCAGCGAAAUGCGAUAAGUAGUGUGAAUUGCAGAAUUCAGUGAAUCAUCGAAUCUUUGAACGCACAUUGCGCCCCUUGGUAUCCCGAGGGGCAUGCCUGUUCGAGCGUCAUUUCACCACUCAAGCCUGGCUUGGUGUUGGGCGACGUCCCCUUUGGGGACGCGCCUCGAAACGCUCGGCGGCGUGGCACCGGCUUUAAGCGUAGCAGAAUCUUUCGCUUUAAAAGUCGGGGCCCCGUCUGCCGGAAGACCUACUCGCAAGGUUGACCUCGGAUCAGGCAGGGAUACCCGCUGAACUUAAGCAUAUCAAUAAGCGGGAGGAA